RNAcentral lists this unclassified non-coding RNA (253 nucleotides) under Hevea brasiliensis (rubber tree). The record is from RNAcentral. Lineage: Eukaryota; Viridiplantae; Streptophyta; Magnoliopsida; Malpighiales; Euphorbiaceae.
GGAAAUCCUCUUAAAAGUUACCCUAUUCCUUUUUGGCACUUUGUCCAACUUGGUUGCCUAUUGCCUAAUAUAAUUAACAAAGAAUAUAUUGAAGGCUUCAAGCCAUAGGCAUGUAAACCGCUGAUAGCAUGAUGCAUGUGAACCGCUGAUCAUCCUAUGUUUUUAUGUAAAAAUAUUUUAUGACUUAAACUUCAAUGAAUUCUUUAUAUGAAAAAAAUUAUCUCUGGUAAUGCUUUAUUUAUUUAUUUUUUUU